This 1191-nucleotide long non-coding RNA is filed under the name Jatropha curcas. RNAcentral's name for it is "long non-coding RNA (JCUR_LNC000682)". Lineage: Eukaryota; Viridiplantae; Streptophyta; Magnoliopsida; Malpighiales; Euphorbiaceae. The record is from RNAcentral.
UGAUUGAUUGUGGUAUCUCAUGGAGCUGUUUCCUAAUAAUGAGUUGGUGGUGGCGGAGAGGCAUAAAUGUAAACUGGAGGUGGAGGUGACUUCACAGGUGGUGGUGGGGAGUGGUAGUAGUAGGGGGGAGGGGGUGACUUCACAGGUGGGGGUGGUGAGUGGUAGUAGUAGGGAGGAGGGGGUGACUUCACUGGUGGGGGUGGUGAGUGGUAGUAGUAGGGGGGAGGCGGUGAUUUUACUGGUGGGGGUGGUGAGUGAUAGUAGUAAGGAGGAGGAGGUGACUUCACAGGUGGAGGUGGGGAGUGGUAGUAAUAUGGAGGAGGGGGUGACUUCACCGGUGGCGGCGGUGAGUGGUAGUAAUAAGGAGGAGGGGGUGACUUCACAGGCGGGGGUGGAGAGUGGUAGUAGUAUGGGGGAGGGGGUGAUUUCACUGGUGGAGGUGGAGAGUGGUAAUAGUAUGGAGGAGGUGGUGACUUCACGGGUGGAGGUGGAGAGGGGUAGUAGUAUGGGGGAGGGGGUGAUUUCACUGGUGGAGGUGGAGAAUGGUAAUAGUAUGGAGGAGGUGGUGACUUCACGGGUGGAGGUGGAGAGUGAUAGUAGUAUGGGGGAGGAGGAGACUUCACUGGUGGGGGUGGUGAGUGAUAGUAAUAUGGAGGAGGGGGUGAUUUUACCGGUGGAGGUGGAGAGUGGUAGUAGUAUGGAGGAGGAGGAGACUUCACGGGUGGAGGUGGAGAGUGGUAGUAGUACGGAGGAGGGGGAGACUUCACCGGUGGAGGUGGAGAGUGGUAGUAGUACGGAGGAGGAGGUGACUUCACGGGUGGAGGUGGAGAGUGAUAAUAGUACGGAGGAGGAGGUGACUUCACUGGUGGUGGUGGAGAGUGAUAAUAGUAUGGGGGAGGAGGUGACUUCACUGGUGGUGGUGGAGAGUGAUAGUAAUAUGGGGGAGGAGGUGAUUUCACUGGUGGAGGUGGAGAAUGGUAAUAGUAUGGAGGAGGUGGUGACUUUACUGGUGGUGGUGGAGAAGUGUAGUAGUAAGGAGCAGGUGUGGGCUCGGGUUUAGGCUUCUUACACUCCUCGUAAGGAGUUUUAGGAGCAUAAGCAAAUGGCUUAGCUUGAAGAACAACUUCAUACUUUGUCUUGGACUUAACCUUAAGCUCGGCACCCUUAUCACCCAUGUGUAGGUCAGUUGGG